This is a long non-coding RNA of Egretta garzetta (little egret), 93 nucleotides long. RefSeq lists it as uncharacterized. The record is from RefSeq and is a predicted model, not a curated record. Lineage: Eukaryota; Metazoa; Chordata; Aves; Pelecaniformes; Ardeidae. The transcript is spliced from 3 exons.
AACAAAAUAUCUGCGCAACAGACCCUCUCCGGAUCGAGUUGGAGACAAGUUGGCUAACUUCUGAAUGAUUUUUUGCGUUUCUUGAUUUUGCUU